RNAcentral lists this non-coding RNA (86 nucleotides) under fish gut metagenome. Its description in RNAcentral is "Purine riboswitch". The stretch from base 10 to 76 matches the Rfam family "Purine riboswitch aptamer", at positions 20 to 86 of the family's 102-position model. From Rfam's summary of the family: Riboswitches are metabolite binding domains within certain messenger RNAs that serve as precision sensors for their corresponding targets. Allosteric rearrangement of mRNA structure is mediated by ligand binding, and this results in modulation of gene expression. The record is from RNAcentral.
UUAUGAAACAUUGUAUAUAUUAGAAGAUAAGGUUCUAACGUCUCUACCCGGUUACCGUAAAUAAUCGGACUACAAUCAUAAUUUAA